RNAcentral lists this ribosomal RNA (476 nucleotides) under uncultured bacterium. RNAcentral describes it as "partial 16S ribosomal RNA". It matches the Rfam family "Bacterial small subunit ribosomal RNA", at positions 355 to 818 of the family's 1533-position model. The record is from RNAcentral.
UGGGGAAUUUGACAAUGGGCGAAAGCCUGAUCCAGCAAUGCCGCGUGUGUGAAGAAGGCCUUCGGGUUGUAAAGCACUUUUGUCCGGAAAGAAAAUCCUUGGCUCUAAUUACAGUCGGGGGAUGACGGUACCGGAAGAAUAAGCACCGGCUAACUACGUGCCAGCAGCCGCGGUAAUACGUAGGGUGCAAGCGUUAAUCGGAAUUACUGGGCGUAAAGCGUGCGCAGGCGGUUUGCUAAGACCGAUGUGAAAAUCCCCGGGCUCAACCUGGGAACUGCAUUGGUGACUGGCAGGCUAGAGUAUGGCAGAGGGGGGUAGAAUUCCACGUGUAGCAGUGAAAAUGCGUAGAGAUGUGGAGGAAUACCGAUGGCGAAGGCAGCCCCCUGGGCCAAUACUGACGCUCAUGCACGAAAGCGUGGGGAGCAAACAGGAUUAGGAUAACCCUGGUAGUCCACGCCCUAAAACGAUGUCAACUA